Molecule: long non-coding RNA, 621 nt
Organism: Malurus melanocephalus (red-backed fairy wren)
Lineage: Eukaryota; Metazoa; Chordata; Aves; Passeriformes; Maluridae
Exons: 3
Source: RefSeq, a predicted model, not a curated record
GCCGCGCGGCGAAGAUGGAGGAGGAGGCGGGGGGGCGGCGGGGCGCGCGCCGGGCGGCACCGGGGGGACCCCAGGGCCCCCGGGCGGCGCGGGCACAGCCCCGGUGCCCCGGCCGGCGCUGACGGACCUGCGCCUCUCCGAGCCCCCCCGGCACCCGCGGGCCACCAUGGACCCCCAGAGCGACACAGAGGGGGGGUCCGGCCGUGAGCCCCCGCUGGAGCUCCUGCCCCGUGUCCCGCUGCACGCUGCCCUGCCCGCCCCAGGUGAGUGGGUGGCCCCAAAACAUGGUGAAACCUCCUCCCCAAUGAAAUUCGUACCCCAAAACCCGGUGAAACCCACCCCCCAAUGAAACCCAACCCCCAAAACCCGGUGAAAACCCCUCCCCAAAACCCGGUGAAACCUGCUGCCCAAUGAAACUCGCCCCCAAAACGCAGCGAAACCCGUUCCCCAAUAAAACCUGCCCCCCAAAACUCGGUGAAACCCACCCCCAAAAACCCGGUGAAAACCCCUCCCCAAAACCCGGUGAAACCCACUGCUCAAUGAAAGUCGCCCCCCAAAACCCAGUGAAACCUGUUCCCCGAUAAAACCUGCCCCCCAAAACCCGGUGAAACCCACCCCCCA